This 446-nucleotide ribosomal RNA is filed under the name uncultured organism. RNAcentral describes it as "partial 16S ribosomal RNA". It matches the Rfam family "Bacterial small subunit ribosomal RNA", at positions 334 to 797 of the family's 1533-position model. The record is from RNAcentral.
CACUCCUGCGGGAGGCAGCAGUGGGGGAUAUUGGACAAUGGGCGCAAGCCUGAUCCAGCCAUGCCGCGUGAGUGAUGAAGGCCCUAGGGUUGUAAAGCUCUUUCACCGGUGAAGAUAAUGACGGUAACCGGAGAAGAAGCCCCGGCUAACUUCGUGCCAGCAGCCGCGGUAAUACGAAGGGGGCUAGCGUUGUUCGGAUUUACUGGGCGUAAAGCGCACGUAGGCGGACUAUUAAGUCAGGGGUGAAAUCCCGGGGCUCAACCCCGGAACUGCCUUUGAUACUGGUAGUCUUGAGUUCGAGAGAGGUGAGUGGAAUUCCGAGUGUAGAGGUGAAAUUCGUAGAUAUUCGGAGGAACACCAGUGGCGAAGGCGGCUCACUGGCUCGAUACUGACGCUGAGGUGCGAAAGCGUGGGGAGCAAACAGGAUUAGAAACCCUUGUAGUCCC